CGACUCCGUCCGUUGGUCUUCUUCAUGGACUCGUUCUUCUUCCUUGCGGGAUCUCAGGCAAGAUGGCCGUACCCUCGAAAUCACUUCUAUCUUUGCUUGCUAGAUGCUCGCUCUUUUGCUAUGCCUAUGCUGCGAUACCUACCACUUGUUUAUCAUGCCUCCCAUAUUGUUAAGCCAAGCCUCUAACCACCUUGUCCUAGCAAACCGUUGUUUGGCUAUGUUACCGCUUUGCUCAGCCCCUCUUAUAGCGUUAUUAGUUGCAGGUGAAGAUUGGAGUUUGUUCCAUGUUGGAACAUGGAUUGUUGUUGGGAUAUCACAAUAUCUCUUAUUAUAUUAAUGCAUCUAUAUACUUGGUAAAGGGUGGAAGGCUCGGCCUUAUGCCUGGUGUUUUGUUCCACUCUUGCCGCCCUAGUUUCCGUCAUACCGGUGUUAUGUUCCUUGAUUUUGCGUUCCUUACACGGUUGGGUUAUAAUGGGAACCCCUUGACAGUUCGCCUUGAAUAAAACUCCUCCAGCAAAGCCCAACAUUGGUUUUACCAUUUGCCACCUAGCCUUUUCUUUCCCUUGGGUCGGCCGGCUCAAGGGUCAUCUCUAUUUUAACCCCCCGGGCCAGUGCUUCUCUAAGUGUUGGUCCAACUAAGCGAUGUCCGGGGCUACCAGGGGCAACUCUGGGCUGGCCUACCCGGCGUCUGGCUCAUCCGGUGUGCCCUGAGAACGAGAUAUGUGCACCUCCUAUCGGGAUUUGUCGGCACAUCUGGGUGGCUUUGCUGGUCUUGUUUUACCAUUGUCAAAAUGUCUUGUAACCGGGAUUCUGAGCCUGAUCGGGUCUUCCUGGGAGAAGGAAUAUCCUUCGUUGACCGUGAGAGCUUGUGAUGGGCUAAGUUGGGACACCCCUACAGGGUUUUGAACUUUCAAAAGUCGUGCCCGCGGUUAUGGGCAGAUGGGAAUUUGUUAAUGUCCGGUUGUAGAAAACCUGAAACUUGUCUUAAUUAAAAUGCAUCAAGCGCGUGUGUAGCCGUGAUGGUCUCUUCUCAGCGGAGUCCGGGAAGUGAACACAGUGUUGGAGUAAUGCUUGACGUAGGUUGUUCUAGGAUCACUUCUUGAUCAUACUUGUUCGACCGUGCCUUUGCCUUCUCUUCUCGCUCUCUUUUGCGUAUAUGUUAGCCACUAAAUAUGCUAGUCGCUUGCUGCAGCUCCACCUCAUACCUUUACCUUACCCAUAAGCUUAAAUAGUCUUGAUCGCGAGGGUGUGAGAUUGCUGAGUCCCCGUGACUCACAGAUACUUCCAAAAACCAGUUUGCAGGUGCCGAUGAAACCGUGUAGGUGACGCAACCAAGCUCAAGGAGGAGCUAGAUGAAGACCUUGUUCGUAGUGUUGUUUCAUUUCAGUUGAUCAGUAGUGGAGCCCAGUUGGGACGAUCGGGGAUCUGUGUAGCAUUUGGGGUAGUCUUCUUUUAUUUUGGUUCCGUAGUCGGACCUUGAUUGUAUCUGGAUGAUGUAAUGAUUUAUUCAUG
Molecule: long non-coding RNA, 1512 nt
Filed under: Triticum aestivum (bread wheat)
Lineage: Eukaryota; Viridiplantae; Streptophyta; Magnoliopsida; Poales; Poaceae
Description: long non-coding RNA (TAES_LNC001857)
Source: RNAcentral